This 1543-nucleotide small RNA is filed under the name Pongo abelii (Sumatran orangutan). Its description in RNAcentral is "retained intron". Lineage: Eukaryota; Metazoa; Chordata; Mammalia; Primates; Hominidae. The record is from RNAcentral.
AAGCGUGGGGAAGAGCGGGCUGAGGGACUCCACUAGAGGUUGUCCAUCUGGAUUCCCUGCCUCCCUAGGAGCCCAACAGAGCAAAGCAAGUGGGCACAAGGAGUAUGGUUCUAACGUGAUUGGGGUCAUGAACACGUUGCUGUUGGACUUGGCUUUGUGGUCACUGCUUUUCCAGGCCGGGGGGCUGUCCUGGAGUUCCCAGGUGAGUCAGAACUGCCACAAUGGCAGCUAUGAAAUCAGCGUCCUGAUGAUGGACAACUCAGCCUUUGCAGAGCCCCUGGAAAACUUGGAAGAUGCGGUGAAUGAGGGGCUGGAAAUAGUGAGAGGACGUCUGCAAAAUGCUGGCCUAAAUGUGACUGUGAACGCUACUUUCAUGUAUUCGGAUGGUCUGAUUCAUAACUCAGGCGACUGCCGGAGUAGCACCUGUGAAGGCCUCGACCUACUCAGGAAAAUUUCAAAUGCAAAACGGAUGGGCUGUGUCCUCAUAGGGCCCUCAUGUACAUACUCCACCUUCCAGAUGUACCUUGACACAGAAUUGAGCUACCCCAUGAUCUCAGCUGGAAGUUUUGGAUUGUCAUGUGACUAUAAAGAAACCUUAACCAGGCUGAUGUCUCCAGCUAGAAAGUUGACGUACUUCUUGGUUAACUUUUGGAAAACCAAUGAUCUGCCCUUCAAAACUUAUUCCUGGAGCACUUCAUAUGUUUACAAGAAUGGUACAGAGACUGAGGACUGUUUCUGGUACCUUAAUGCUCUGGAGGCUGGCGUUUCCUAUUUCUCCCACGAACUCAGCUUUAAGGCGGUGUUAAGACAAGAUAAGGAGUUUCAGGAUAUCUUAACAGACCACAACAGGAAAAGCAAUGUGAUUAUUAUGUGUGGUGGUCCAGAGUUCCUCUACAAGCUGAAGGGUGACCGAGCAGUGGCUGAAGACAUUGUCAUUAUUCUAGUGGAUCUUUUCAAUGACCAGUACUUUGAGGGCAAUGUCACAGCCCCUGACUAUAUGAAAAAUGUCCUUGUUCUGACGCUGUCUCCUGGGAAUUCCCUCCUAAAUAGCUCUUUCUCCAGGAAUCUAUCACCUACAAAACGAGACUUUGCUCUUGCCUACUUGAAUGGAAUCCUGCUCUUUGGACAUAUGCUGAUGAUAUUUCUUGAAAAUGGAGAAAAUAUUACCACCCCCAAAUUUGCUCAUGCUUUCAGGAAUCUCACUUUUGAAGGUACUGGUCUACUAAGAGCAAAUAACCCCAAGGUGAAGAAACAUGGGCUUUCUGAGUGGAUUUGGGGCAACAAAGAGGGUUUAGCAAUAGAUGAUUCCACAGCUAAAUCCCUUUGAACUUAACUGGAUGCAAACAUCAGUACAUAAACUUUGAGGGUGCUGUUAUUGAUAACUGAACCCCAGUUUAUGCUUCAGUCUUUUAGAAUCUUUGGAUGUCACAGAAAGAGCAGGUAGCACAGGUUCUGUACUUAUGAACAAGCUCAUCAUAAGGCAUUUUGAGCAGUAAUGUCCUGACUGUGCUUGGAGACUAACAAGAGGAUAAAUAUUUGCAGU